GGGUCAUUUAUUUUCGGCGUUGGGUUAUUUUUAGUUAUAACCCAACUGUUGGGUUAAAUAUGGUUCCCGCUUCACUCCGGUUCAAAUUUUAACGGUCCAGUCAGCGACUCAGUGGACAUCAGCGGCAACCUGCCUGAUUAUGAAAGAUAAAUGGAUUUCUUUGUAAAGAAAAGAUUACAACAGCGGAACCUCUGCAAUUUAAUAGAAACAUUUCAAGGUUGGUACUAAUAUGGUCCACUACCUCAACAAUGAGACAAGCCAGGAUCCACAUGUCUUGGUGCUUGGAGACAAAGAAAAUUCCUCCCAAGUUUUCAUCAUUUUCAUUGGAGAGGCAGUUGAAAAGGAGUCCUUACUUCAAGCAGUGAAUGAAUGCUUCAAAAUGUUCUACAUCUAUGACGUAAACUACCCAAAGCCCUCUGCUCCAAUUUGGGAGUUCUUGCAGCAUGCAGUCUAUAAUAUUCCUGGAGGAGUUCCUUCUACACAUUGCUGCCUCCUAAAAAACUUUGUAUUCAAAGUUACUGAUCAUCAGUUGAUCCAGUAGCCAAAACACACCUUUAAGGGUUAGUUCACCCACAAAUGAAAAUUCUGUCAUUAAUCACCCUCAUGUUGUUCCAAACCCGCAAGACCUCCGUUCAUCUUUGAAACACAAAUUAAGAUAUUGUUGAUGCAUUCUGACAGCUCUCUGACCCUCCUAUGGACAGCAAGGGUCCUUACACCAUCAAUGUCCAGAAACUUAGCAAGGAGAUUGGUAAAAUAAUCCAUGUGACAUCAGGGGUUUAACUUUAACAGCAUACACUGUUUGCGUUGAGUGGAUACUGUCCAAAAUGGCACUAGGGUGACACGGAGGAGACAAAUUGUUGAAUAAACUCAUUAUUUUUUUUUCUUUUGCCCACAAAAAGUGUUCUCGUAUAAUAUUACGGUUGAACCCCUGAUGUCACAUGGAUUAUUUUACCAAUCCUUGCUAAGUUUCUGGACGUUGAGGGUGUAAGGACCCUUGCUGUCUAUGGGAGGGUCAAAGAGCUGUCAGAAUGCAUCAAAAAUAUCUUAACUUGUGUUCCAAAGAUGAACGGAGGUCUUACGGGUUUAGAACGACAUGAGGGUGAGUAAUUAAUAACAGAAUUUUCAUUUUUGGAAGAACUUUCCCUUUAAGGUGUUUAUAACACAAUGCAUAUGGUGACCACUGUAGCAUUUUUUAUUAAGGAUAUGUUUAUUUCUUGAAGUAUAAAGGUAUGUUCUUGGUGUACACAUUUGUGUAGUUUUUGGUAUACUGGUAUGUGCACAUUUGUGGUUUGAAUUUGUAUACCGUAUGUGCACAGAUGUUUAGGUUGUAUAUUUCUGUACUGUAUGUGCACAUCUGUAUUUUAAAAGCUUACUAUAUGUGCAUCUGUGUAGGUUUUGAAUUGGUAAACCAUAUGUGCACAUUUGUUUUGAAUAUUUGUACUGUAUGUGGAUAUUUGUGUUUUGAAUUUAACAUGUAUUUGAAUUUAUGUAUAUUGUUUGUGUAUAUUUGUUUUAAAUUUAAUGUGUAUUUUGAAUAUUU
Molecule: long non-coding RNA, 1540 nt
Organism: Cyprinus carpio carpio
Lineage: Eukaryota; Metazoa; Chordata; Actinopteri; Cypriniformes; Cyprinidae
Source: Ensembl